Molecule: ribosomal RNA, 377 nt
Filed under: uncultured bacterium
Lineage: Bacteria
Description: bacterial SSU rRNA
Rfam family: Bacterial small subunit ribosomal RNA
Source: RNAcentral
ACACGUAGGGGGCGAGCGUUGUCCGGAAUUACUGGGCGUAAAGGGCGCGUAGGCGGCCUAAUAAGUCAGAUGUGAAAACCCAAGGCUUAACCAUGGGAUUGCAUUUGAAACUGUUGAGCUUGAGGGCAGGAGAGGAAAGCGGAAUUCCCAGUGUAGCGGUGAAAUGCGUAGAUAUUGGGAGGAACACCAGUGGCGAAGGCGGCUUUCUGGACUGAACCUGACGCUGAGGCGCGAAAGCCAGGGUAGCGAACGGGAUUAGAUACCCCGGUAGUCCUGGCCGUAAACGAUGGAUACUAGGUGUGGGAGGUAUCGACCCCUUCCGUGCCGCAGCAAACGCAAUAAGUAUCCCGCCUGGGGAGUACGGCCGCAAGGCUGAA